Molecule: unclassified non-coding RNA, 947 nt
Filed under: Hevea brasiliensis (rubber tree)
Lineage: Eukaryota; Viridiplantae; Streptophyta; Magnoliopsida; Malpighiales; Euphorbiaceae
Source: RNAcentral
GAAAACCGUAAGUGGGAUAAAUUUUCUCUUCGCCAAUGUUAGCCAAAUGCCAUAAAACCUUAACUGAGAUUAAUCGUUUCUCAAUUUCUAAACACUCCAUAGCUAACCAAUUAAAGCAUUGCUCUAAGAUGGAGGAGCUGGAAUGUGUGUAUGCUUCCAUGAUCAAAACCAAUACAAGUCAAGAUUGUUUCUUGAUGAACCAAUUUAUCACCGCUUGUUCCACUCUUGGCCAUGUAGAUUUUGCAGUUUUAGCCUAUACCCAAAUGGAAAAUCAUAAUGUUUUUGUCUAUAAUGCGAUGAUUAGAGGAUUUGUUCAAUGCUAUUAUCCGAUUCAAGCCCUUGAAUUUUAUAUAGACAUGCUGAGAGUUCAAGUGUUGCCUACAAGUUACACAUUUUCAUCUUUAAUUAAAGCUUGCAGUUUAGCAUCCGUAGUGAGGUUUGGAGAAGCUGUUCAUGGUCACGUUUGGAGACAUGGGUUUGACUCACAUGUGUUUGUUCAAACUUCUUUGGUUGAUUUUUAUUCGCGCGUGGGCAGAAUUACUGAAUCCAAAAGGGUGUUUGAUGAAAUGCCUCACAGAGAUGUCUUUGCUUGGACUACCAUUGUUUCUAGUCUUGCACGGUUUGGAGAUUUGAGUUCUGCGAGGAGAUUGUUUGAUAGGAUGCCGGAAAAGAACACAGCUACUUGGAAUACUUUGAUUGAUGGGUAUGCAAGAUUGAAAGAUUUAGAUUCGGCUGAAUUUCUGUUUAAUCAAAUGCCUGCAAGGGAUAUUAUUUCGUGGACAACAAUGAUCGAUUGUUAUUCUCAGAAUAGAAGAUUUAAAGAAGCAUUGGUUGUUUUUAAUGAGAUGAUAAAAGAUGGGAUUAGCCCGGAUGAAGUGACCAUGGCAACUGUGAUUUCAGCAUGUGCUCAUUUGGGAGCCCUUGACUUGGGGAAAGAAAUACAUCUU